UACGAAGGUGGCAAGCGUUACUCGGAAUUACUAGGCGUAAAGGGCAGGUAGGUGGUUUGGUAAGUCUGUUGUGAAAGCUCCCGGCUCAACUGGGAGAGGCCAACAGAUACUACUAAGCUUGAGUAUAGGAGAGGAUACUGGAAUUCCCGGUGUAGCGGUGAAAUGCGCAGAGAUCGGGAGGAACACCAAUGGCGAAAGCAGGUAUCUGGACUAUUACUGACACUCAGCUGCGAAAGCUAGGGGAGCAAACAGG
RNAcentral lists this ribosomal RNA (253 nucleotides) under uncultured bacterium. RNAcentral's name for it is "partial 16S ribosomal RNA". It matches the Rfam family "Bacterial small subunit ribosomal RNA", at positions 524 to 776 of the family's 1533-position model. The record is from RNAcentral.